AACGAACGCUGGCGGCAUGCCUAACACGUGCAAGUCGAACGAGACCUUCGGGUCUAGUGGCGCACGGGUGCGUAACGCGUGGGAACCUGCCCUUAGGUUCGGAAUAACUCCCCGAAAGGGGUGCUAAUACCGGAUAAUGUCUUCGGACCAAAGAUUUAUCGCCUUUGGAUGGGCCCGCGUUGGAUUAGCUAGUUGGUAGGGUAAAAGCCUACCAAGGCGACGAUCCAUAGCUGGUCUGAGAGGAUGAUCAGCCACACUGGGACUGAGACACGGCCCAGACUCCUACGGGAGGCAGCAGUGGGGAAUAUUGGACAAUGGGCGAAAGCCUGAUCCAGCAAUGCCGCGUGAGUGAUGAAGGCCUUAGGGUUGUAAAGCUCCUUUACCCGGGAUGAUAAUGACAGUACCGGGAGAAUAAGCUCCGGCUAACUCCGUG
Molecule: ribosomal RNA, 433 nt
Filed under: uncultured bacterium
Lineage: Bacteria
Description: partial 16S ribosomal RNA
Rfam family: Bacterial small subunit ribosomal RNA
Source: RNAcentral